CCAGGCGAGCUGCGCCCCCCACCCCGCCCCCCCCCCCCCGGGGGCCUGCCCCCCCCCUGUCCCCCAGCCCCCACCCCCCCCCCCCCCCACAACCUCUACACCCACCCUUCCCAUACCUCAGAGCCUUGCCCUGUGAGGCUCUGCCCUGUGCCCCCCCCCGCUCGCCAGGCUGCGCUCACCAUCCCUGCUCUUUCUGCCCAGGCCCCCCCCUCGGACAGGCCGCCCCCCCCCACCCGCCCGCUGCCUGCGGACCCCGUGGCGCCAGGCACUCAGCCCCCCGCUCCUGCCAAGCCCCCCCCACCUCGCCGGCCCCUGCCCUCGGACCCCCCGGGGCCUUCACUGCCACGCAGCGAGAGCCCCCCCGGCCACCCCCACGUCACCGUCAUCCCUUCCAGGCCGGCGCCGCCGCCCCCCGCGGGCACCCCCCGGGAGGCCUGAGCGGGGCCGGGACCGCCGCUGGAGCCGCCGGGCCGGGAGGGGGGCCGGGGGGGGGGCUCGCCGCCUGCUUGUCGCCGCCGGGCCAAUAAAGGGGCCGUGAGCCUGCCUCCGUGCUGCCUCCGGGGCACCGGGAGGGGGGGGACGGGGAACGGUACCGGGGGGGCUCCGGGACUACAACUCCCG
Molecule: long non-coding RNA, 621 nt
Filed under: Anas platyrhynchos platyrhynchos (common mallard)
Lineage: Eukaryota; Metazoa; Chordata; Aves; Anseriformes; Anatidae
Description: lncRNA (ENSAPLG00000030790.1)
Source: RNAcentral